UCUCAAAUUCGUAAGUGUGAUUUUGCUCCGUUCUUUGAGUUUGUUGGUAUCCUGCAGCUUGUAUUGCCAUUGUUGCAGGAAGGUUUAUUCCGUUUCAUCCUGGGAGGAUUUAAUCCAUUACCUUGGCAACUUAUGAGGGGGUUAAAAUUCCUUAAGGACGCACAAGGAAAUUGUGGACUCGGAAUAUUUCUUAUCAUUUUCAGAGUUUCUGUUUCUUCUAACAAUUUUCUGAUUUCUGUUUUAACACAGUAUCGCUUACAGAUGAUGACCAGCACCAGCCUGUCAUUGUAAAGCUUGCAAAGUUUGGAUUUACAAUCGGACAUAGGCAAACAAUUGCUCCAGUACCCAAGAACUUAAAUCCCAAAAACAUUACCCUGGAAAAAGCUUUGAAGCUUUUGUUAAGUAAAGAUGUAAAACGAUGUGGUCGACCUAAGCACCAGCCACAGGUAGAAGAAGCUGUUGAGGCGAUGAAGUCAUUCUUUGAUGGAGGCUCUUCUCAGGCUGUGUUUUAUAGGAGGAAUGGUGGAAUACUGGAGCAUAUUUACGCCACACGGGCGGGCUUGGAUACUGUCCCAGUAUGAAGAGUUGUAUAUCUGGAGUGGCGAAGACAAUUUUGUUACUCGAAUAUCCAUUCUUCUGUAAUCACUUUUUACUUUUGUUGUCAUAGCAUUAGGCAGUAACUUGGACAUCCAGAUGGCCUGUUUAAUUCUCUUUUCCUGCAUCACAAAGAUGUAAAGAGAAUGAAGGCAUUUCAUUGGCAGUUAGUCUCAGUUUGAUGUAAAGAAAAUGGAUGUAAGCAUUCAAUAUUUGCUAAACAUAUUGUAUUUUGCAUGGAAGACCUCUCGUAAAUUUAUUAUACUACAGUCGUCCUAUUUCUUUUA
Nicotiana tabacum (common tobacco) is the source of this 881-nucleotide non-coding RNA. The record is from RefSeq and is a predicted model, not a curated record. Lineage: Eukaryota; Viridiplantae; Streptophyta; Magnoliopsida; Solanales; Solanaceae.